This 520-nucleotide ribosomal RNA is filed under the name uncultured Glomus. RNAcentral's name for it is "SSU rRNA". It matches the Rfam family "Eukaryotic small subunit ribosomal RNA", at positions 569 to 1095 of the family's 1831-position model. Lineage: Eukaryota; Fungi; Glomeromycota; Glomeromycetes; Glomerales; Glomeraceae. The record is from RNAcentral.
AGCAGCCGCGGUAAUUCCAGCUCCAAUAGCGUAUAUUAAAGUUGUUGCAGUUAAAAAGCUCAUAGUUGAAUUUCGAGACCGGUUUACUGGUCGUGCUUUUGUACGUACUGGUAUAAUCGGUUUCUCUUUUCUGACGAACUAUAAUGCCAUUAAUUUGGUGUUAUAGGGAAUCAGGACUGUUACUUUGAAAAAUUAGAGUGUUUAAAGCAGGCUCACGCUUGAAUACAUUAGCAUGGAAUAACGAAAUAGGACGUUUGAUUUUAUUUUGUUGGUUUCUAGGAUCGACGUAAUGAUUAAUAGGGAUAGUUGGGGGCAUUAGUAUUCAAUUGUCAGAGGUGAAAUUCUUGGAUUUAUUGAAGACUAACUACUGCGAAAGCAUUUGCCAAGGAUGUUUUCAUUAAUCAAGAACGAAGUUAGGGGAUCGAAGACGAUCAGAUACCGUCGUAGUCUUAACCAUAAACUAUGCCGACUAGGGAUCGGAUGAUGUUAAUAUUAAUGACUCAUUCGGCACCUUACGGGA